Molecule: long non-coding RNA, 294 nt
Filed under: Cavia porcellus (domestic guinea pig)
Lineage: Eukaryota; Metazoa; Chordata; Mammalia; Rodentia; Caviidae
Description: lncRNA (ENSCPOG00000039078.1)
Source: RNAcentral
CAAAAGGUGUGAUUCUUUAACUCCUGGGAAGUAACAGACAGCAGGAAUCUGACAAUAUCAGAAUAUCAACAUUACCUGAGAUUGUCAUAGGAUUGCCUCAGAAAAGGUUGGAUUCCAAUAAGUUGCUGAAUCAGAAAACUCGAUUCAAAGAAAUUCAACUCAAACUGGAUUUUCUUUUUUGCCUUUGGUAGAAUUUUAACAAAAAGCCCGGAAUUUUGUCUACCUUUUCUAGAAUUUUUCUAAGGUAUGUAUUUCCUUGCAUUUAUAAUGGAGACAUUAUAUGACAUAAUUUUG